Molecule: long non-coding RNA, 251 nt
Filed under: Ananas comosus (pineapple)
Lineage: Eukaryota; Viridiplantae; Streptophyta; Magnoliopsida; Poales; Bromeliaceae
Description: long non-coding RNA (ACOM_LNC030984)
Source: RNAcentral
ACACUAUUGUUUACUCCCCAUCUUUAGUUGGAACAAAAAUCAGAUCAUUGUGAGAAAGGUGAAUGAUCAUGCUUAAUUCUGAAACACUAAUUAAUUUGUUGAGUCUAAAUCACUAAUCUAAAAUACUUAAGCUUAAACUAGAGUCGCUGAUCCUUACGUAUUCGAUCAUAACUUAUUUUUCAUUCGAAGUAGAAUUAUUGGAGCGUUACAUGAUCGAGUAUACAUGCAUAAGAUAGGUAUGUAGCUAUAUA